This 351-nucleotide transfer-messenger RNA is filed under the name Thermodesulfobacteriota. RNAcentral describes it as "RBG-13-43-22 sp001797675 Standard tmRNA". It matches the Rfam family "transfer-messenger RNA". Rfam says of the family: Bacterial tmRNA, also known as 10Sa RNA or SsrA, is named for its dual tRNA and mRNA-like properties. Its role is to liberate the mRNA from a stalled ribosome. To accomplish this part of the tmRNA is used as a reading frame that ends in a translation stop signal. RNAcentral also lists the same sequence under 1 other name. The record is from RNAcentral. Lineage: Bacteria; Pseudomonadati.
GGGGGCGAAACGGCUUCGACGGGGAUAUUUAGCUUAGGUGGCAUACCGAGGUCCUAUCGGCUCGUAAAACAGAUAGGAAACAAUAAUCGCAGACAACUACGAUUACGCCUUGGCCGCUUAGUCGGCCGACAUCCUGUCUUUCUUUCCUGCGAGGAAGAUAAGGGUGACGAUCAGCAGGAUAGCCUGACCGAAUGGCCUGUAGCCGGAAGGGCGAAACCUUUUACAGGAUAGCUUUUCAGGUCUCCCGCCUGGCGGAUACCUGGAAAGCGAAUCUUUAAUAGCCGGGAUAAGUAUGUAGAGGCCUAAGUGAUGUAUUUUCGGACGCGGGUUCAACUCCCGCCGCCUCCACCA